Molecule: long non-coding RNA, 1327 nt
Organism: Gavialis gangeticus (Gharial)
Lineage: Eukaryota; Metazoa; Chordata; Crocodylia; Gavialidae
Exons: 2
Source: RefSeq, a predicted model, not a curated record
AAGAGAGGAAGGAAAAUCAAGAGGUUGGCUGGUUUGCUGAUCAAGCACUGCUUAAGGCCUUAUUGAGGACUGAAUGCAGGGCAGCAAGCAGAACUGUACACAGUAAGAGAGAGGAGAUGACUCAGAUGUGGACUGCAGGAGUCAGCAGGCUGCUUCUAGAACUGAGCACCUCUUCCCCUGCCUCCUCACACUCCGCACCAGAUGCUCACUUCUGGAGGCCACCUUCAGAGCUGACCUUCCUGUCCCCCUUCCCUCUCACCAAGCUUAUGCAACAAGUACUUUGUCUGAAUCAGAAAUAACUUCUCCUGUGGUCAGGAGAGCUUAGUCAUUUCCUUUGCGUCAACACUGGCAUGCAGAUUUGUUAAAAAUAGAAAGCUCUGUUGUGCCAUUUACGGGGAGUGAAAGUUCUCUCAUUCAGACGCAUGAAUGAUAUGAGCCCCCUUUCUUUGGGCGUUCUCCUAGGAGCCCUUCUUACUUCCACAAGAAGCUUCCAUUGGCAUUGAAUUACUUCACAACAUUCCCCUUUCCACAAAGAACUGGGUCCUUCAGUUUAGAAAGCAGGAUCAUGCAUGACACCAAUUACACCAAUGGGUGUUUUCUGGUACCAGCUUUCAAAGGGGAGAGGAAGGAGGCCGAGGAGAACAACGUAGGAACAAUUCCUAAGGCAGUUUAGGAUGUGCUUCUUUACCAUAACUCCAAAGACAUCAGCAAUUUGUCAUACUGGAAUUGCAUACGCCUAGUUUCAGAAGGGAAAAAAAUACAAUUGGAGCUGCAAGCGUAUGCAGAGUACACAACAUCAGGUACGCUACUGAUCUCUGUUGGACAGCACAGAGCAAAAACCCAGACAGCGACGCAUCUGACAGCAACCUAAAUGGAUUUUUGUGCUAUCCCACUGCACUGCACCAGAGAUGCAGCAAAAGAGGGAGUUAUUUCCAAGAACCUCUGCAUUCCCAACACUGACUAUAGAGCGAAGCUUAGCGUUUCAUUAGCACGCACACUUAUAUCUCACACUGCUAGUUCAGAUGUGAUUACGUCACUCAAGAUAAAAAGUAGUGUUAAAGGCGAACAUCUGGUGCGGUUUUCCAGAUAGCUGACAUUCUUAAAGACUAAACAAAAUGUCACCGCAGCAGCAGAGUGUGUAAAAUUAAAGAGGUAAUUGAAGAUCACUCAACGUUAUCAGCGGAGCAAGUCUUCCUUAGCAUAAUUUCCUUAGUAUAAUAGCAAUACACUUAUCAUUCUGCCUGUAGCUGCUUGCUCCAACUCAUUGGUGCUUUUGGUAUCACAGGGAGGGGUAAUAUUUUGGCCACUGGCAGGAUUAUAGGCCCUU